Molecule: ribosomal RNA, 437 nt
Filed under: uncultured bacterium
Lineage: Bacteria
Description: bacterial SSU rRNA
Rfam family: Bacterial small subunit ribosomal RNA
Source: RNAcentral
CGAAAGGGUGACGAAGCGACGCCGCGUGUGGGAAGAAGGCCUUCGGGUUGUAAACCACUGUCAGGAGUUAAGAAGUGUAAGGAUACUAAUAGUGUCCUUACUUGACUAAGGCUCCAGAGGAAGCCACGGCUAACUCUGUGCCAGCAGCCGCGGUAAUACAGAGGUGGCAAGCGUUGUUCGGAAUUAUUGGGCGUAAAGAGCACGUAGGCGGUUCUGCAAGUCGGCUGUGAAAGCCUUCCGCUCAACGGAAGAACAGCAGUUGAUACUACAGGACUAGAGUGCGGGAGGGGAGAGUGGAACUUCUGGUGGAGCGGUGAAAUGCGUAGAUAUCAGAAGGAACGCCGGCGGCGAAAGCGACUCUCUGGCCCGUAACUGACGCUGAGUGUGCGAAAGCUAGGGGAGCAAACGGGAUUAGAUACCCCGGUAGUCCUAGCCGU